UAGAAUAACCCGAAACUCCGUCGUUCUACUCACUCGUUUGUUCGAUCUCGACCGGUUCGUGUCAUCGUACUACACACCGUUUCCUUCCUUCAUACUAAUCUUCGAAAUUUCAAAAACACAUCUACAAUCAUGGAGAUUGCCAAAGCAAACGAUACAGCAAGUAGCCUGGUCGAGCAAUCGUUGAACGUUGAAUCGGCAUUGAAGUCUGUGAAAUCGUCGCAGAGUACACAGAGCGUACAAACCAAAUCCGUAAUCGAGUCGUCGACUUCCAUUAAAUCGGUGACCACAUCGUCGAGCAGGUCACAUCGAUCGAUGGAGUACGAGGAGUCGGUUGAAUACACAGAUGAAUAAUAAUCAUCACGCGGCGAUAUCCUAGAGUCCCAGGAAAAUCAAGUGGGCAGGCACCGCGAACGUGGUCGAGACUAAAGCACGGUUUGCUAGAUUAUUCAAUCGACUAAUUAGUUCAAUCUAUUGGAUAGAAAAUGAAAACGAAAUUCCUUCGUUAUCGAAUGUCAUAUCAUAACGUGAUUUUCGACAUUGUCUAUAGAUAUUCGUUACUUUUCAUGAAAUUUUUAUCGUACUAACGAGAAGUCUUUUCCUUCGAUGAAUUUUUUCUUUUUUAUAUAUACAUUCGAUAACAGAUAUAAUUUGAAAACAAAUUAACUGAAUAUAAAAUAUCUUCAUUAUAUUAAAUCUUAUCGUGAAUAACACGGAGCAAGACGACAACAACAAAAAAGUAAUCGAAGAUCGUGAAGGUGAAUCAAUGUGGAGUUCUUAUUGGAGGAAAAAUCGAGUUUCUUACUGAACGACGACGGGUCAAGGAUAGAGAAUUGGGAAUGCCAAUCGCAAUUGAAGAUGUCUACGCUUAAUAAAAAGACAAGAAAAAGAAGAAGAAGAAGAAUAAAAAGAAGAAGAAAAAGACAAAUAUACUGAAGAACAUCUAGAAGUCUCGACUACGAUUUUGGCUUCACUCCAAACGCCGUGGUUCGCCGCCAAAUAGCAAAGAGCCCAGUUCCUUUUUCUUUUACGAAUUUUCGUCCGUCUUUUAGUCGAGUAUUGGACACUCACCUCCCCCUUCUCCUUAGCCCAAUCCUUUUCGUGCAAAUAUUCCGUCAUUGUCAUGUCUCGACACAUCCGAUUUUUAUCUCGAUGCAUCAAUUAAUCUUUGUAUAAUAAAAUUUUUCAAACAAA
RNAcentral lists this long non-coding RNA (1191 nucleotides) under Polistes fuscatus (common paper wasp). RNAcentral's name for it is "uncharacterized LOC122516437". Lineage: Eukaryota; Metazoa; Arthropoda; Insecta; Hymenoptera; Vespidae. The record is from RNAcentral.